CUUUUAAAUUCUAGGAGAUCUGUUAUUUUAAAGGAUCUGAGUGCUGACCAAAGAAGUUUUAGCAAUUCUCGAAAACUAAGAAAACGACCGACAAAUUCCAUUGCCAGCUGUCGCGGUUAUUAUGGUGGAUCAAAAAGAAACAAAUCAAACCACUCUUAAAAGAAAGAACACGGUGAAAUGUUUCUUUUUCAUUAAAAAGGAUUUAAACAACAAGGAUCAGAUACCCUUUUAGUUUAACCAAAAUAAACAGAAAAUAAUACUGAAGGAACUUUGCUAGUGUACAUCACUUAGGGGGAGCUGGGAGUUAAAGUGAUAAUCCUCAUAAAAUUUCCCUACACAAUAGUUUCCAAAUCGCUGUCCUAGCCUUUUCAAAAUUGGGAUUUAGGUUAUACCUUAUAGGUCAAGUGAGAAAGAAUUCACUUUAGGGACUUCCUGGGUCACAUUAACAAAAAAGCUGUACUUAAAAGUAACUUUUAAAGUAAAGCUGAAAUCAUUAAGUAUAGGGACAAAUCGCUCGGUAACCCUGAGAAGGGUAAGCCGCAACAAGGUAAGAGUACUGGAAGGUGUUCUU
This 571-nucleotide ribosomal RNA is filed under the name Xiphinema rivesi. RNAcentral's name for it is "12S ribosomal RNA". Lineage: Eukaryota; Metazoa; Nematoda; Enoplea; Dorylaimida; Longidoridae. The record is from RNAcentral.